This 21-nucleotide microRNA is filed under the name Homo sapiens (human). RNAcentral describes it as "hsa-miR-4785". Lineage: Eukaryota; Metazoa; Chordata; Mammalia; Primates; Hominidae. The record is from miRBase by way of RNAcentral.
AGAGUCGGCGACGCCGCCAGC